RNAcentral lists this ribosomal RNA (482 nucleotides) under uncultured bacterium. Its description in RNAcentral is "partial 16S ribosomal RNA". It matches the Rfam family "Bacterial small subunit ribosomal RNA", at positions 28 to 523 of the family's 1533-position model. The record is from RNAcentral.
GACGAACGCUGGCGGCGUGCUUAACACAUGCAAGUCGAACGAUGAAGCCGGAGCUUGCUCCGGUGGAUAGUGGCGAACGGGUGAGUAACACGUGAGCAAUCUGCCCUUGACUCUGGGAUAACUGCGGGAAACUGUAGCUAAUACCGGAUACGACACCUUGGGGCAUCCCAGGGUGUGGAAAGAAUUUCGGUCAAGGAUGAGCUCGCGGCCUAUCAGCUAGUUGGUGAGGUAAUGGCUCACCAAGGCGACGACGGGUAGCCGGCCUGAGAGGGUGACCGGCCACACUGGAACUGAGACACGGUCCAGACUCCUACGGGAGGCAGCAGUGGGGAAUAUUGCACAAUGGGCGAAAGCCUGAUGCAGCAACGCCGCGUGAGGGAUGAAGGCCUUCGGGUUGUAAACCUCUUUUAGCAGGGAAGAAGCGAAAGUGACGGUACCUGCAGAAAAAGCACCGGCUAACUACGAGCCAGCAGCCGCAGUAA